GACAAACGCUGGCGGCAUGCCUAACACAUGCAAGUCGAACGGACAGAACAGGGAAGCUUUUCGGAGUGGAACUGGAAAGUUAGUGGCGGAUGGGUGAGUAACGCGUGGACAACCUACCUUGUAAAGGGGAAUAACCUCGAGAAAUCGAAGCUAAUACCCCAUAAUAACCUUGCUUCGCAUGAAGUAAGGAGGAAAGGCGGCCUUAGCGCUGUCGAUACAAGAUGGGUCCGCGUCUGAUUAGCUAGUUGGUGAGGUAAAGGCUCACCAAAGCGACGAUCAGUAGCCGGCCUGAGAGGGUGAACGGCCACAUUGGGACUGAGACACGGCCCAAACUCCUACGGGAGGCAGCAGUGGGGAAUCUUCCGCAAAGGGCGAAAGCCUGACGGAGCAAUGCCGCGUGAGUGAAGAAGGCCUUCGGGUUGUAAAACUCUGUCCUUAUCGAAGAGAGAGUGUUGUAGUAACUGACAAUACUAGGACGGUAGAUGAGGAGGAAGCCCCGGCUAACUAUGUG
RNAcentral lists this ribosomal RNA (511 nucleotides) under uncultured bacterium. RNAcentral describes it as "partial 16S ribosomal RNA". It matches the Rfam family "Bacterial small subunit ribosomal RNA", at positions 28 to 507 of the family's 1533-position model. The record is from RNAcentral.